UGUCAAAGUGCUUACCUAGUUUCUCC
RNAcentral lists this non-coding RNA (26 nucleotides) under Rattus norvegicus (Norway rat). The record is from RNAcentral. Lineage: Eukaryota; Metazoa; Chordata; Mammalia; Rodentia; Muridae.